Molecule: non-coding RNA, 33 nt
Organism: Schistosoma rodhaini
Lineage: Eukaryota; Metazoa; Platyhelminthes; Trematoda; Strigeidida; Schistosomatidae
Source: Rfam
CUGAUGAGUCCCAAAUAGGACGAAACGCGCGUC